AGUGAACGCUGGCGGUAGGCCUAACACAUGCAAGUCGAACGGCAGCACAGUAAGAGCUUGCUCUUACGGGUGGCGAGUGGCGGACGGGUGAGGAAUACAUCGGAAUCUACUUUUUCGUGGGUGAUAACGUAGGGAAACUUACGCUAAUACCGCAUACGACCUACGGGUGAAAUCAGGGGAUCUUCGGACCUUGCGCGAUUGAAUGAGCCGAUGUCGGAUUAGCUAGUUGGCGGGGUAAAGGCCCACCAAGGCGACGAUCCGUAGCUUGUCUGAGAGGAUGAUCAGCCACACUGGAACUGAGACACGGUCCAGACUCCUACGGGAGGCAGCAGUGGGGAAUAUUGGACAAUGGGGGCAAGCCUGAUCCAGCAAUACCGCGUGGGUGAAGAAGGCCUUCGGGUUGUAAAGCCCUUUUGUUGGGAAAGAAAAGCAGCAGGUUAAUACCCCGCUGUUCUGACGGUACCCAAAGAAUAAGCACCGGCUAACUUCGUG
RNAcentral lists this ribosomal RNA (492 nucleotides) under uncultured bacterium. RNAcentral's name for it is "partial 16S ribosomal RNA". It matches the Rfam family "Bacterial small subunit ribosomal RNA", at positions 29 to 507 of the family's 1533-position model. The record is from RNAcentral.